AGACCGAUAGCGAACAAGUAGAGUGAUCGAAAGAUGAAAAGCCCUUUGGAAAGAGAGUUCCCCAGUACGUGAAAUUGUUGAAAGGGAAGCGCUUGCAAUCAGACUUGCACUUGGUGUUCAUCAGGGUCUCGUACCCUGUGUACUUCAUCAAGUUCAGGCCAGCAUCAGUUUGAGUGGUUAGAUAAAGGCUUAGAGAAUGUGGCCCUCUUCGGGGGGUGUUAUAGCUCUAGGUGCAAUGUAGCCUACUUGGACUGAGGACCGCGCUUCGGCUAGGAUGCUGGCGUAAUGGUUGUAAGCGACCCGUCUUGAAACACGGACCAAG
Molecule: ribosomal RNA, 322 nt
Filed under: Botrytis sp.
Lineage: Eukaryota; Fungi; Ascomycota; Leotiomycetes; Helotiales; Sclerotiniaceae
Description: partial large subunit ribosomal RNA
Rfam family: Eukaryotic large subunit ribosomal RNA
Source: RNAcentral